This 372-nucleotide ribosomal RNA is filed under the name uncultured bacterium. RNAcentral describes it as "bacterial SSU rRNA". It matches the Rfam family "Bacterial small subunit ribosomal RNA", at positions 524 to 898 of the family's 1533-position model. The record is from RNAcentral.
UACGGAGGGUGCAAGCGUUGUCCGGAUUUAUUGGGUUUAAAGGGUGCGUAGGCGGUUUAAUAAGUCAGUGGUGAAAGCCGGCAGCUCAACUGUCGAAUUGCCAUUGAUACUGUUAAACUUGAGUAUGGUUGAGGUGGUUGGAAUGAGUAGUGUAGCGGUGAAAUGCAUAGAUAUUACUCAGAACACCGAUUGCGAAGGCAGAUCACUAAGCCAUAACUGACGCUGAGGCACGAAAGUGUGGGGAUCAAACAGGAUUAGAUACCCUGGUAGUCCACACUGUAAACGUUGGAUACUCGAUGCACGCGAUAGACAGUGUGUGUCCAAGGGAAACCGAUAAGUAUCCCACCUGGGAAGUACGCCCGCAAGGGUGAA